CACCCGAGACUCAGUGAAAUUGAACUCGCUGUGAAGAUGCAGUGUACCCGCGGCAAGACGGAAAGACCCCGUGAACCUUUACUAUAGCUUGACACUGAACAUUGAGCCUUGAUGUGUAGGAUAGGUGGGAGGCUUUGAAGUGUGGACGCCAGUCUGCAUGGAGCCGGCCUUGAAAUACCACCCUUUAAUGUUUGAUGUUCUAACGUGGACCCGUGAUCCGGGUUGCGGACAGUGUCUGGUGGGUAGUUUGACUGGGGCGGUCUCCUCCUAAAGAGUAACGGAGGAGCACGAAGGUUGGCUAAUCCUGGUCGGACAUCAGGAGGUUAGUGCAAUGGCAUAAGCCAGCUUGACUGCGAGCGUGACGGCGCGAGCAGGUGCGAAAGCAGGUCAUAGUGAUCCGGUGGUUCUGAAUGGAAGGGCCAUCGCUCAACGGAUAAAAGGUACUCCGGGGAUAACAGGCUGAUACCGCCCAAGAGUUCAUAUCGACGGCGGUGUUUGGCACCUCGAUGUCGGCUCAUCACAUCCUGGGGCUGAAGUAGGUCCCAAGGGUAUGGCUGUUCGCCAUUUAAAGUGGUACGCGAGCUGGGUUUAGAACGUCGUGAGACAGUUCGGUCCCUAUCUGCCGUGGGCGCUGGAGAACUGAGGGGGGCUGCUCCUAGUACGAGAGGACCGGAGUGGACGCAUCACUGGUGUUCGGGUUGUCAUGCCAAUGGCACUGCCCGGUAGCUAAAUGCGGAAGAGAUAAGUGCUGAAAGCAUCUAAGCACGAAACUUGCCCCGAGAUGAGUUCUCCCUGACCCUUUAAGGGUCCUGAAGGAACGUUGAAGACGACGACGUUGAUAGGCCGGGUGUGUAAGCGCAGCGAUGCGUUGAGCUAACCGGUACUAAUGAACCGUGAGGCUUAACCUUACAACGCCGAAG
RNAcentral lists this ribosomal RNA (920 nucleotides) under Shigella sonnei. RNAcentral describes it as "partial 23S ribosomal RNA". It matches the Rfam family "Bacterial large subunit ribosomal RNA", at positions 2023 to 2925 of the family's 2925-position model. The record is from RNAcentral. Lineage: Bacteria; Pseudomonadati; Pseudomonadota; Gammaproteobacteria; Enterobacterales; Enterobacteriaceae.